AAUAACUAAAAAUAGUAUUGGGGUUAAGGGUCAUAUUUGUUAUUUUUCUUACAUCUCCACCACCCGGAGCCCAGGUAUCAUAUAUACCUCCAAAAUAGAGAGCUUUUAGCACGAGAAGAAAAGAACCAGCACCGAGUAAGAUGAGAUGAAUACCCAAAAUGGUAGUCAUUUUAUUUCUAUCCUUCCA
Molecule: antisense RNA, 187 nt
Filed under: Ephedra sinica (Chinese ephedra)
Lineage: Eukaryota; Viridiplantae; Streptophyta; Gnetopsida; Ephedrales; Ephedraceae
Description: Antisense RNA which regulates isiA expression
Rfam family: Antisense RNA which regulates isiA expression
Source: Rfam by way of RNAcentral